Long non-coding RNA from Ictalurus furcatus (blue catfish), 2318 nucleotides. RefSeq lists it as uncharacterized. NCBI's taxonomy places the organism in Eukaryota, Metazoa, Chordata, Actinopteri, Siluriformes, Ictaluridae. The transcript has 4 exons. The record is from RefSeq and is a predicted model, not a curated record.
CCGCUCUCAGAUAACACAAUCGCCAGACGUAUUGAUGACAUGUCUACAGACAUCGAAAGCCAUGUUUUGGAAAAGAUACGCAUCAGUAGGAAAUUUGCGUUGCAACUUGAUGAGUCUACGGAUAUUCUCAGCUCUUGGCCAAUGUGCGUUUUGUGGAUGGAGAUGCCAUUAGAGAAAACUUCCUAUUUUGUAAGGCACUGCCAGAAAAAACAACAGGGGAGGAAAUUUUUUGGGUCAAAUCGGAAUAUCUUGACCAGGGAGGACUUACGUGGGAAAAUUGCACAAGUGUUUGCACUGAUGGAGCUGCAGCCAUGGUCGGGCACACCUAAGGCUUCGUUAGCAGAGUGAAGGAAAGAAACCCAGAUCUUAUUGUUACACACUGUUUUCUGCACCGUGAGGCCUUCGUUGCAAAGACUUUACCAGCAGAACUAGUUCCUGUGUUGGAUGAUGUUGUGCGCAUAGGGAACUUUGUAAAGACACGACCUUUGAAAAGGUAUAUUUGCAUCUUUGUGUGAGGAAAUGUGAGCGGAGCAUAAAGCCUUAUUGCUCCAUACGGAGGUCCGAUGGUUGUAGCGUGACAAGUUGCUGGCCCGUGUGUAUGAGCUGCGGGAGGAACUUAAAGUGUUUCUGACAAAUGAGAGGUCUGAUUACUCAAAUCUGUUUGAAAGUGAUGAGUGGUGUGCAAAGCUGGCAUACCUGGCAGAUAUAUUUCAUCAUCUGAAUGAACCGAACACACGGAUGCAAGGCCGAAAUGAGAACCUGCUUACAAGCAUGGAUAAAAUAAAUGGAUUCCAUUUAAAGGUGCACCUCUGGCAACAACAUGUGCAAAGUGCCAACCUUGAGAUGUUCCCACUCACAGAGGAACGGCAAGAUCACCCUGCUGCACUGUGCGAGGUAAUAGUUAAACAUCUGAAAACUCUUGAGGAGAAGUUGUCAUUUUAUUUCUCUUCAGCCUCCACUGAAUGCCUUGACUGCUGUUGGAAAGGACAUGACUUUACAGGAGCAGGAGGAACUAACUGAACUGAAACAAGAUCGUGGUUUAAAGCUAAGAUUUGCUGAACUUCCUUUGGACAGUUUUUGGUUGACUGCUGCCAAGGAAUUCCCCAUUCCGGCCAACAAAGUUUUGACAUUGCUCCCAUUUUCCACAACAUAUGUGUGUGAGCUGAGCUUUUCAAGCCUAACUGCUAUAAAAACUAAAAACAGAGAGAGACUGAAAGCUGUUGAAGAAGAGCUUCGUGUAUGCCUUUCUUCAAUUCCUGCCAGGAUAUCGGCUUUGUGUUCAUCUAAACAGGCCCAGGUUUCACACUGAGAAGCUGCCUUAAUCACGAUGAACCCAGGCUACGCAGGCAGGACCGAGCUCCGGGACAACCCGGAGGCCGCUUCAGAUCCGUCUCCAUGAUUGUGCCCGACCACGCCGUCAUCGCAGAGGUGGACUUGUGAGCUGAGGGCUUCAAGUUCAGUGAGACUCUGGCGAAGAAGAUGAUUCAGCUGUAUAAGCUGUGCAGCAAGCAGCUUUCCCGGCAGGACCACUACGACUUCAGCAUGAGAGUCGUCAACUCUGUUAUCGUCAUGGCCGGGUCUCUGAUGCGAGAGAACCCACACCUGAGUGAGAACGUGGUGUUGAUUAGAGCGCUACGAUACUCCAACCUGCCCAAGUUACUCAAGGAUGACGCAGAACUUAAAAUAAAAUAAAUUGAUAAAUAGUAAAGAACGCCAAAGCUUACAUAUGGAGUAUCAAAGGUCAUUAUCACAGGAUCACUGGAAUCAGGCACUAGGAGGAAAUUCCAGGACAAAUUAGGAAAUACAAUUAACUGACAUUUGCAAAUUCUUUGCAACUAAAAAGCUGUAAUUAUAUACUAUAUAACUUUUUUUUAAAGCAUUUAAAGUAUAUAACAUUAGCACCUUGUAAUGUUAUACCAGAUGAAAAGUAAAGAAUCCUGGAACAUCUGAACAUCCAUAAUCUGAAAAUCUUGAACCUAGUGUCAAUCGAGUCAAUCCAAUCCUUCUUGUGUGCGUUUAGCGGUAUUCUGUCGGACCUCUUUCCUGGCGUGGGCGUCCCCGAGCAUGACUACGGCGCGCUUCAGUCGAACAUCGAGGCAGCUCUAUGCGCCCGCUCCCUGCAGCCCGUCUCCAGCAUGACCGCCAGGGUGAUCCAGCUGUACGAGACCAUGCUAGUGCACCAGGGCGUCUUGCUGGUGGGCCCUACGAGAGGCGGUAAAACCACAGCAUACCGUGCCCUCGCUGACGCACUGCGCACCCUCCACGAGACAGAAGGCUGCGAGGUGAAUCCCUUAUACAAGCCCAUCGAGACCGACGUG